CGCGCGUUCCCAUUUUGUUGGUUUCUGAGAUCGCCGUAAUGAUUAAUAGGGAUAGUUGGGGGCAUUUGUAUUCCGUCGCCAGAGGUGAAAUUCUUGGAUUGCCGGAAGACAAACUACUGCGAAAGCAUUUGCCAAGGAUGUUUUCAUUGAUCAAGAACGAAGGAAGGGGGAUCGAAAACGAUUAGAUACCGUUGUAGUCUCUUCUGUAAACUAUGCCAAUUGGGGAUCGGCACAGGAUUUUUAAUGACUGUGUUGGCACCCGAAGAGAAAUCUUUAAAUGAGGUUCGGGGGGGAGUAUGGUCGCAAGGCUGAAACUUAAAGGAAUUGACGGAAGGGCACCACCAGGUGUGGAGCCUGCGGCUUAAUUUGACUCAACACGGGGAAACUCACCAGGUCCAGACACAAUAAGGAUUGACAGAUUGAUAGCUCUUUCUUGAUCUUGUGGUUGGUGGUGCAUGGCCGUUCUUAGUUGGUGGAGUGAUUUGUCUGGUUAAUUCCGAUAACGAACGAGACCUUAACCUGCUAAAUAGACCAGCCGGCUUUGGCUAGCUGCUGUCUUCUUAGAGGGACUAUCAGCGUUUAGCUGAUGGAAGUUUGAGGCAAUACCAGGUCUGUGAUGCCCUUA
This 625-nucleotide ribosomal RNA is filed under the name uncultured fungus. Its description in RNAcentral is "SSU rRNA". It matches the Rfam family "Eukaryotic small subunit ribosomal RNA", at positions 827 to 1475 of the family's 1831-position model. The record is from RNAcentral. Lineage: Eukaryota; Fungi.